Oncorhynchus keta (chum salmon) is the source of this 157-nucleotide long non-coding RNA. RefSeq lists it as uncharacterized. The transcript is spliced from 4 exons. NCBI's taxonomy places the organism in Eukaryota, Metazoa, Chordata, Actinopteri, Salmoniformes, Salmonidae. The record is from RefSeq and is a predicted model, not a curated record.
CAGAAGACAGAGGGACUAUAGAGUAUAGAACAGUAAGGUUCAGAGGACAGAGGACAGAGGGACUAUAGAGUAUAGAACAGUAAGGUUCAGAAGACAGAGGGACUAUAGAGUAUAGAACAGUAAGGUUCAGAGGACAGAGGACAGAGGGACUAUAGAG